GGUUGAAGGUUGGGUAACACUAACUGGAGGACCGAACCGACUAAUGUUGAAAAAUUAGCGGAUGACCUGUGGCUGGGGGUGAAAGGCCAAUCAAACCGGGAGAUAGCUGGUUCUCCCCGAAAGCUAUUUAGGUAGCGCCUCGUGAAUUCAUCUCCGGGGGUAGAGCACUGUUUCGGCUAGGGGGCCAUCCCGGCUUACCAACCCGAUGCAAACUGCGAAUACCGGAGAAUGUUAUCACGGGAGACACACGGCGGGUGCUAACGUCCGUCGUGAAGAGGGAAACAACCCAGACCGCCAGCUAAGGUCCCAAAGUCAUGGUUAAGUGGGAAACGAUGUGGGAAGGCCCAGACAGCCAGGAUGUUGGCUUAGAAGCAGCCAUCAUUUAAAGAAAGCGUAAUAGCUCACUGGUCGAGUCGGCCUGCGCGGAAGAUGUAACGGGGCUAAACCAUGCACCGAAGCUGCGGCAGCGAACGUAUCACCCAAGACAACUUUACGGAGUUGACGAUUGACGGAGCGAAGCGACGUCAAAGCGUUCAUUAAAGUCGAGUUGGCUUAGGGAUACGUUCGUUGGGUAGGGGAGCGUUCUGUAAGCCUGUGAAGGUGUGUCGUGAGGCAUGCUGGAGGUAUCAGAAGUGCGAAUGCUGACAUAAGUAACGAUAAAGCGGGUGAAAAGCCCGCUCGCCGGAAGACCAAGGGUUCCUGUCCAACGUUAAUCGGGGCAGGGUGAGUCGACCCCUAAGGCGAGGCCGAAAGGCGUAGUCGAUGGGAAACGGGUUAAUAUUCCCGUACUUGGUGUUACUGCGAAGGGGGGACGGAGAAGGCUAUGUUGGCCGGGCGACGGUUGUCCCGGUUUAAGCGUGUAGGUGUGUGUUCCAGGUAAAUCCGGUUCACUUUAACACUGAGGCGUGACGACGAGGCACUACGGUGCUGAAGCAACAAAUGCCCUGCUUCCAGGAAAAGCCUCUAAGCAUCAGGUAACAUCAAAUCGUACCCCAAACCGACACAGGUGGUCAGGUAGAGAAUACCAAGGCGCUUGAGAGAACUCGGGUGAAGGAACUAGGCAAAAUGGUGCCGUAACUUCGGGAGAAGGCACGCUGACACGUAGGUGAAGUGAUUUACUCAUGGAGCUGAAGUCAGUCGAAGAUACCAGCUGGCUGCAACUGUUUAUUAAAAACACAGCACUGUGCAAACACGAAAGUGGACGUAUACGGUGUGACGCCUGCCCGGUGCCGGAAGGUUAAUUGAUGGGGUCAGCGCAAGCGAAGCUCCUGAUCGAAGCCCCGGUAAACGGCGGCCGUAACUAUAACGGUCCUAAGGUAGCGAAAUUCCUUGUCGGGUAAGUUCCGACCUGCACGAAUGGCGUAAUGAUGGCCAGGCUGUCUCCACCCGAGACUCAGUGAAAUUGAACUCGCUGUGAAGAUGCAGUGUACCCGCGGCAAGACGGAAAGACCCCGUGAACCUUUACUAUAGCUUGACACUGAACAUUGAGCCUUGAUGUGUAGGAUAGGUGGGAGGCUUUGAAGUGUGGACGCCAGUCUGCAUGGAGCCGACCUUGAAAUACCACCCUUUAAUGUUUGAUGUUCUAACGUGGACCCGUUA
RNAcentral lists this ribosomal RNA (1599 nucleotides) under Salmonella enterica. Its description in RNAcentral is "partial 23S ribosomal RNA". It matches the Rfam family "Bacterial large subunit ribosomal RNA", at positions 743 to 2238 of the family's 2925-position model. RNAcentral also lists the same sequence under 2 other names. The record is from RNAcentral. Lineage: Bacteria; Pseudomonadati; Pseudomonadota; Gammaproteobacteria; Enterobacterales; Enterobacteriaceae.